AGCCAUCAUUUAAAGAAAGCGUAAUAGCUCACUGGUCGAGUCGGCCUGCGCGGAAGAUGUAACGGGGCUAAACCAUGCACCGAAGCUGCGGCAGCGACACUAUGUGUUGUUGGGUAGGGGAGCGUUCUGUAAGCCUGUGAAGGUGUGCUGUGAGGCAUGCUGGAGGUAUCAGAAGUGCGAAUGCUGACAUAAGUAACGAUAAAGCGGGUGAAAAGCCCGCUCGCCGGAAGACCAAGGGUUCCUGUCCAACGUUAAUCGGGGCAGGGUGAGUCGACCCCUAAGGCGAGGCCGAAAGGCGUAGU
RNAcentral lists this ribosomal RNA (302 nucleotides) under Escherichia coli. RNAcentral describes it as "partial 23S ribosomal RNA". It matches the Rfam family "Bacterial large subunit ribosomal RNA", at positions 1114 to 1415 of the family's 2925-position model. The record is from RNAcentral. Lineage: Bacteria; Pseudomonadati; Pseudomonadota; Gammaproteobacteria; Enterobacterales; Enterobacteriaceae.